CCUACGGGAGGCAGCAGUGAGGAAUAUUGGUCAAUGGACGAGAGUCUGAACCAGCCAAGCAGCGUGAAGGAUGACUGCCCUAUGGGUUGUAAACUUCUUUUAUAAAGGAAUAAAACGAGGCACGUGUGCAUUUUUGCAUGUACUUUAUGAAUAAGGAUCGGCUAAGUCCGUGCCAGCAGCCGCGGUAAUACGGAGGAUCCAAGCGUUAUCCGGAUUUAUUGGGCUUAAAGGGAGCGUAGAUGGGUUGUUAAGUCAGUUGUGAAAGUUUGCGGCUUAACCGUAAAAUUGCAAUUGAUACUGGCAGUCUUGAGUACAGUUGAGGUAGGUGGAAUUCGUGGUGUAGCGGUGAAAUGCUUAGAUAUCACGAAGAACCCCGAUUGCGAAGGCAGCUUACUAAACUGUGACUGACAUUGAUGCUCGAAAGUGUGGGUAUCAAACAGGAUUAGAUACCCCAGUAGUC
This 460-nucleotide ribosomal RNA is filed under the name uncultured bacterium. RNAcentral describes it as "partial 16S ribosomal RNA". It matches the Rfam family "Bacterial small subunit ribosomal RNA", at positions 338 to 795 of the family's 1533-position model. The record is from RNAcentral.